UACGGAGGGUGCAAACGUUUGCUCGGAAUCAUUGGGCGUAAAGCGCACGUAGGCGGCCUGUUAAGUCGGGUGUGAAAGCCCUGGGCUCAACCGUGGAGGGUCAUUGGAAACUGGGGGACUUGAGUGCAGAAGAGGAAAGCGGAAUUCCACGUGUAGCGGUGAAAUGCGUAGAGACCCGGAGGAACACCGGUGGCGAAGGCGGCUUCCUGGUCUGCAACUGACGCUGUGGCGCGAAAGCUAGGGGAGCAAACGGG
RNAcentral lists this ribosomal RNA (254 nucleotides) under uncultured bacterium. Its description in RNAcentral is "partial 16S ribosomal RNA". It matches the Rfam family "Bacterial small subunit ribosomal RNA", at positions 524 to 776 of the family's 1533-position model. The record is from RNAcentral.